UACGAAGGGGGCUAGCGUUGUUCGGAAUUACUGGGCGUAAAGCGUAUGUAGGCGGACUGAUCAGUCAGGGGUGAAAUCCCGAGGCUUAACCUCGGAACUGCCUUUGAUACUGUCAGUCUUGAGUUCGAGAGAGGUGAGUGGAAUUCCGAGUGUAGAGGUGAAAUUCGUAGAUAUUUGGAGGAACACCAGUGGCGAAGGCGGCUCACUGGCUCGAUACUGACGCUGAGGUGCGAAAGUGUGGGGAGCAAACAGG
This 253-nucleotide ribosomal RNA is filed under the name uncultured bacterium. RNAcentral describes it as "partial 16S ribosomal RNA". It matches the Rfam family "Bacterial small subunit ribosomal RNA", at positions 524 to 776 of the family's 1533-position model. The record is from RNAcentral.